GAUGAACGCUGGCGGCGUGCCUAAUACAUGCAAGUCGAGCGAACGGACGAGAAGCUUGCUUUUCUGAUUUUAUCGGCGGACGGGAGAUUAACAUAUGGACAACCUAACUAUAAGACUGGGAUAACUUUGCGAAACCGUAUCUAAUACCGGAUAAUUUUUUGCACCGCAUUGUUCAAAAGUUAAAGACGGUCUUUCUUUCACUUAUAGAUUAAUACGCGCUGCAUUAACUAGUUGGCAAGGUAAAGGCUUACCCAGGCAACGAUGCAUAGCCGACCUCAGAGGGUGGUCGGACACACUGGAAGUGAGACAGGGUACAGACUCCUGCAGGAGGAAGCAGUAGGGAAUCUUACGCGAUGGGGGAGAGCGUGAUGGAGGAACGCCGGGUGAGUGAUGAACGUCUUAGGCUCGUAAAACUAUGUUAUUAGGAAAGAACAUAUGUGUAAGUACCUGUGAACAUAUUGACGGUACCUAAUCAGAAAGCCACGGCUAACUCCGUG
This 497-nucleotide ribosomal RNA is filed under the name uncultured bacterium. Its description in RNAcentral is "partial 16S ribosomal RNA". It matches the Rfam family "Bacterial small subunit ribosomal RNA", at positions 28 to 507 of the family's 1533-position model. The record is from RNAcentral.